RNAcentral lists this ribosomal RNA (465 nucleotides) under uncultured bacterium. Its description in RNAcentral is "partial 16S ribosomal RNA". It matches the Rfam family "Bacterial small subunit ribosomal RNA", at positions 28 to 507 of the family's 1533-position model. The record is from RNAcentral.
GACGAACGCUGGCGGCGUGCUUAACACAUGCAAGUCGUACGGUAAGGCCCUUUCGUGGGUCCUCGAGCGGCGACGGGGGGCGUAAGAGGUACAUAACCUUCCCACAACUUUGAGAUAACGCUAAGAAACUGGUACCAAAACUGGUACUGUGCUCUUGCUUCAUGGUGGGGGUUCGAAAGUUCCGGCGGUUGUGGAUGGACUCGCGGCCUAUACGCUUGUUGGAGGGGUAGUGGCCUACCAAAGCGGCGACGGGUAGCAGGCCUGAGAGGGUGACCGGCCGCAUUGGGACUGAGAUACGGCCCAGACUCCUACGGGAGGCAGCAGUGGGGAAUAUUGCACAAUGGGCGCAAGCCUGAUGCAGCAACGCCGCGUGCGGGAUGACGGCCUUCGGGUUGUAAACCGCUUUCAGCAGGGACGAAGCUUUUUGUGACGGUACCUGCAGAAGAAGCACCGGCUAACUACGUG